This 583-nucleotide ribosomal RNA is filed under the name uncultured fungus. RNAcentral describes it as "bacterial SSU rRNA". It matches the Rfam family "Eukaryotic small subunit ribosomal RNA", at positions 569 to 1116 of the family's 1831-position model. Lineage: Eukaryota; Fungi. The record is from RNAcentral.
AGCAGCCGCGGUAAUUCCAGCUCCAAUAGCGUAUAUUAAAGUUGUUGCAGUAUGUCGGCUCGUAGUUGAAUUUCGGGAUUAGUACGUUGGUCGUGCCUUCGGUACGUACUGGUGUUACUGAUUCCUACCUUCUGACGAACCAUCAUGUCAUUAAUGCUCGCUGUAGGGAAUCCAAUGCUGUUACUUUGAAAAAUGCUCCGUGUUUAAAGCAAGCAUUAGCUUGAAUACAUUAGCAUGGAAUAAUGAAAUAGGACGUUUGAUCCUAUUUCGUUGGUUACUAGGAUCGAUGCUCGCUGUAAUAGGGAUAGUUGGGGGCAUUAGUAUUCAAUUGUCAGAGGUGAAAUUCUUGGAUUUAUUGAAGACUAAAUGCUCGCUGAUAGUUUGCCAAGGAUGUUUUCAUUAAUCAAGAACGAAAGUUAGGGGAAUGCUCCGUAUCAGAUACCGUCGUAGUCUUAACCAUAAAUGCCUCGUGAUAGUGAUCGGAUGAUGUUAAUUUUUUAAUGACUCAACACUCGCUCGUAGAAGGUGUCGCUCGCUGUAGAUGCUCGUAGAGAUCGUCGAGGCUCGCUGUAAGUAGAUGCUC